RNAcentral lists this ribosomal RNA (519 nucleotides) under Fusinus crassiplicatus. RNAcentral's name for it is "partial 16S ribosomal RNA". It matches the Rfam family "Bacterial large subunit ribosomal RNA", at positions 1817 to 2600 of the family's 2925-position model. Lineage: Eukaryota; Metazoa; Mollusca; Gastropoda; Neogastropoda; Fasciolariidae. The record is from RNAcentral.
GGCUCCUUGUAUGAAUUAAAUAGGGAGUCGGACCUGCCCAGUGAAUAUUUUAACGGCCGCGGUACCCUGACCGUGCAAAGGUAGCAUAAUCAUUUGCCUUAUAAUUGAAGGCUAGUAUGAAUGGUUUGACAAGAAUAUAGCUGUCUCUUUUCGAUUUUAUAGAAUUUUAUUUAAGGGUGAAGAAGCCUUUAUUUAAUUAAAAGACAAGAAGACCCUAUCGAGCUUUAAAACAAUAAGUAGAUUUGACAUGUCUUAAUAAUUUUAUAGAGAUAUCUACUAAAAAUUUUAGUUGGGGCGACUAAGGAACAUAAAAAGCUUCCUUUAACAAAUUUUAAAUAAUUACGGUUAUUUGAUCCAAGAAUUUUUGAUUAAAGAAAUUAGUUACCGUAGGGAUAACAGCAUUAUCUUCUUUGAGAGUUCUUAUCGAAAAGGAGGUUUGUGACCUCGAUGUUGGACCAGAAUAUCCUAAAGAUGCAGCAGUCUUUAAAGGUUGGUCUGUUCGACCAUUAAAAUUCUACG